AGGUGGUCGGGUAGAGAAUACCAAGGCGCUUGAGAGAACUCGGGUGAAGGAACUAGGCAAAAUGGUACCGUAACUUCGGGAGAAGGUACGCUCUCGACGGUGAAGUCCCUCGCGGAUGGAGCUAUUGAGAGUCGCAGAUACCAGGUGGCUGCAACUGUUUAUUAAAAACACAGCACUGUGCAAAAUCGCAAGAUGACGUAUACGGUGUGACGCCUGCCCGGUGCCGGAAGGUUAAUUGAUGGGGUUAGACUUCGGUCGAAGCUCUUGAUCGAAGCCCCGGUAAACGGCGGCCGUAACUAUAACGGUCCUAAGGUAGCGAAAUUCCUUGUCGGGUAAGUUCCGACCUGCACGAAUGGCGUAAUGAUGGCCACGCUGUCUCCACCCGAGACUCAGUGAAAUUGAAAUCGCUGUGAAGAUGCAGUGUACCCGCGGCUAGACGGAAAGACCCCGUGAACCUUUACUACAGCUUGGCACUGAACAUUGACCCUACAUGUGUAGGAUAGGUGGGAGGCUUUGAAGCGCAGUCGCUAGAUUGCGUGGAGCCGUCCUUGAAAUACCACCCUUGUAGUGUUGAUGUUCUAACGUCGACCCCUUAUCGGGGUUGCGGACAGUGCCUGGUGGGUAGUUUGACUGGGGCGGUCUCCUCCCAAAGCGUAACGGAGGAGCACGAAGGUGGGCUAAUCACGGUUGGACAUCGUGAGGUUAGUGCAAUGGCAUAAGCCCGCUUGACUGCGAGAAUGACAAUUCGAGCAGGUGCGAAAGCAGGUCAUAGUGAUCCGGUGGUUCUGAAUGGAAGGGCCAUCGCUCAACGGAUAAAAGGUACUCCGGGGAUAACAGGCUGAUACCGCCCAAGAGUUCAUAUCGACGGCGGUGUUUGGCACCUCGAUGUCGGCUCAUCACAUCCUGGGGCUGAAGUCGGUCCCAAGGGUAUGGCUGUUCGCCAUUUAAAGUGGUACGCGAGCUGGGUUUAGAACGUCGUGAGACAGUUCGGUCCCUAUCUGCCGUGGGCGUUGGAGAAUUGAAAGGGGCUGCUCCUAGUACGAGAGGACCGGAGUGGACGAACCUCUGGUGUUCGGGUUGUGUCGCCAGACGCAUUGCCCGGUAGCUAAGUUCGGGAUCGAUAACCGCUGAAAGCAUCUAAGCGGGAAGCGAGCCUUGAGAUGAGUUCUCCCUGAUACUUUAAGUAUCCUAAAGGGUUGUCGUAGACUACGACGUUGAUAGGCAGGGUGUGUAAGCGUUGUGAGGCGUUGAGCUAACCUGUACUAAUUGCCCGUGAGGCUUAACCAUACAACACCCAA
This 1298-nucleotide ribosomal RNA is filed under the name Vibrio alginolyticus. Its description in RNAcentral is "partial 23S ribosomal RNA". It matches the Rfam family "Bacterial large subunit ribosomal RNA", at positions 1661 to 2925 of the family's 2925-position model. The record is from RNAcentral. Lineage: Bacteria; Pseudomonadati; Pseudomonadota; Gammaproteobacteria; Vibrionales; Vibrionaceae.